UACGUAGGGUCCGAGCGUUGUCCGGAAUUAUUGGGCGUAAAGAGCUCGUAGGCGGUCUGUCGCGUCAAUCGUGAAAACUUGGGGCUUAACCCUGAGCUUGCGGUCGAUACGGGCAUGACUGGAGUUCGGCAGGGGAGACUGGAAUUCCUGGUGUAGCGGUGAAAUGCGCAGAUAUCAGGAGGAACACCGGUGGCGAAGGCGGGUCUCUGGGCCGAUACUGACGCUGAGGAGCGAAAGCGUGGGGAGCGAACAGG
This 254-nucleotide ribosomal RNA is filed under the name uncultured bacterium. RNAcentral describes it as "partial 16S ribosomal RNA". It matches the Rfam family "Bacterial small subunit ribosomal RNA", at positions 524 to 776 of the family's 1533-position model. The record is from RNAcentral.